UUCUUGGAGAGUUUGAUCCUGGCUCAGGACGAACGCUGGCGGCGUGCCUAAUACAUGCAAGUCGAGCGAAUCAAUAGGAGCUUGCUCCUGUUGGUUAGCGGCGGACGGGUGAGUAACACGUGGGCAACCUGCCUGUAAGACU
RNAcentral lists this ribosomal RNA (142 nucleotides) under Bacillus salipaludis. RNAcentral describes it as "Bacillus sp. WN066 partial 16S ribosomal RNA". It matches the Rfam family "Bacterial small subunit ribosomal RNA", at positions 1 to 139 of the family's 1533-position model. The record is from RNAcentral. Lineage: Bacteria; Bacillati; Bacillota; Bacilli; Caryophanales; Bacillaceae.